UCAAGCAGCAUACCACCCUGCAUCCCACUGCUGGCUUGCCUCAGAAGCUAAACAGGGUUGUCCUGGAUGGGAGACCAGAUGCUGCUGGAA
RNAcentral lists this ribosomal RNA (90 nucleotides) under Hucho hucho (huchen). Lineage: Eukaryota; Metazoa; Chordata; Actinopteri; Salmoniformes; Salmonidae. The record is from RNAcentral.